UGCAGUCGAACGGUAACAUUUCUAGCUUGCUAGAAGAUGACGAGUGGCGGACGGGUGAGUAAUGCUUGGGAACUUGCCUUUGUGAGGGGGAUAACAGUUGGAAACGACUGCUAAUACCGCAUAAUGUCUUCGGACCAAACGGGGCUUCGGCUCCGGCGCAAAGAGAGGCCCAAGUGAGAUUAGCUAGUUGGUAAGGUAACGGCUUACCAAGGCGACGAUCUCUAGCUGUUCUGAGAGGAAGAUCAGCCACACUGGGACUGAGACACGGCCCAGACUCCUACGGGAGGCAGCAGUGGGGAAUAUUGCACAAUGGGGGAAACCCUGAUGCAGCAAUGCCGCGUGUGUGAAGAAGGCUUUAGGGUUGUAAAGCACUUUCAAUAGAGAAGAAAAGCUUAGGGUUAAUACCCCUAAGUAUUGACGUAACCUAUAGAAGAAGCACCGGCUAAAUCCGUGCCAGCAGCCGCGGUAAUACGGAUGGUGCGAGCGUUAAUCGGAAUUACUGGGCGUAAAGAGCACGUAGGCUGUUUUAUAAGUCGGAUGUGAGAUCCCCGGGCUUAACCUGGGAACUGCAUCCGAAACUAUUUAACUAGAGUAUGGGAGAGGUAAGUAGAAUUUCCGGUGUAGCGGUGAAAUGCGUAGAUAUCGGAAGGAAUACCAGUGGCGAAGGCGGCUUACUGGACCAAUACUGACGCUGAGGUGCGAAAGCGUGGGGAGCGAACAGGAUUA
Molecule: ribosomal RNA, 726 nt
Filed under: uncultured Alteromonadaceae bacterium
Lineage: Bacteria; Pseudomonadati; Pseudomonadota; Gammaproteobacteria; Alteromonadales; Alteromonadaceae
Description: bacterial SSU rRNA
Rfam family: Bacterial small subunit ribosomal RNA
Source: RNAcentral